This is a long non-coding RNA of Cavia porcellus (domestic guinea pig), 9760 nucleotides long. RefSeq lists it as uncharacterized. The record is from RefSeq and is a predicted model, not a curated record. The transcript has 6 exons. Lineage: Eukaryota; Metazoa; Chordata; Mammalia; Rodentia; Caviidae.
CCCUGAAGCCUCCAGAAGGCUCAUUUCCUCAUCUGAGCUGGCUGAGGCAAAGCAAGCGCCUGGGGACACUCCUACCUGAAGAAGUAGGCGGCGAGGAGGAGCAAGAGGAGGAGCAGCAGCACAGGCAACAGCAGCCAGAUAAACUGAAAAGCUCCAGGCAUGGAAAACAUCUUGCCAGCCUUUGGGAGAGUUCAAAGUGAUCCGGCAGAUCCUGCCCCUCCUCAUGGAAAUGGCUCCCGGAUGUGCACAAGUCCAACCUGGCAGUGUUCCGGGUGUCCUUAAAUGCCCAGUGGAUCAGCACUGGCAAGGCCAGUCAGGAACUCAGUCUGUGUUUCAGAUGGUUUGAACAGGGUUCUGCACAGUGCAUUUGCAUUCUGCUCCCCGCUUCCUCUACGGCUGGUGCCUGCUCUCAGCAGGGAUGUGGACUCAAUCUUGAGCUUAGUACCAGGGAAACAUUGAACAGGCACUCCAUGACAUUCAAAUCAGCCAUCGCACCAUAACCAGCCAGACUAAGGAUCAGAAGUGGAAGAGACAGGAUGAACAACAGCCAGUCUCAUUUCUGCUUCCAGUUUUUGCAGAUAAAUCAUCACAGGUGAACACACAGGACAAAAGACACAAGGAAAAUGGAGGCCUCCUGGAGGGGCCAUCUCUGCACCCCAGAUGUCCCUCCUCACCUUGAGUUCCUUAUCCUGAAUGAAGAUGCUGGAACUGAGAGGCAAGGAGCCUUUUAGGUCACUCUGCUCUGCCUGGGAGGGUGGCAUCCUGGGGACAGCAGAGGGCCCCCUGUCCACUGGGUCAUGGAGGAGCUUCCUUCACCUGAGAUAAGGGUCCCCUGACACUGUGCACAGAGCCUGGGCCAUGUGUGUUGUGUGCCUGCCCCAUCCUUCCUAGGCACAUAGUAGGGUAUGUGCCUUUCAAACUUAGCUGAGAAAGAAAAGAUGGUGAGGUACUGAUGGUCCAGAAAUUCCCAACCUGGAGCAAUGGCAGAUUCAAGGCCACCUUCACUGUGGCCUUGUGUGACUCAAGAGUCCUUUCUGCCUGUUAGAGAAGAGGCCACUUUUGUCACAAAAGGAGCUGGCCAGGAGGUAGAUUCAGGACAACCCACAUUCCUUAACCGGAGGUGAAGACAGCUCCUGGCUUCUCCUGAGCUUGAAGAAGAUAACAGGAUCGCAGAGAGUGAAAGACUCAAGGAAACCUCUGAAAAGCCAGUUUUCAAGGACCCAAAAGCCAUGCUUGAGUUCAUUUAACCAGCAAACAAGACCUCUAACCAGUUACCAGUUCAGAGAACAUGAAAUUUACAAUGUGUUUUCCAGAAAUGGGACAGGAAUAAAGUGUAUAUAGCUAGGACUUUAGCGGAUAAGUUUUCCCUACCCAAGAAACCAUCCCUUUUGUCUUGAAACCAGGAAGUCCCUAAUAACCUACAAAUUGUAACUGUUUGGAUCCCUUACAAUGAAAGAUGAGAGACAAAGAUUUUGUUGCCUGUUCUCAACAUUGUGAACACUAUGUAACUUGUAGCAUUUUUAUAAGCUUCAGAAAUUAACAAUGAUUAGCUUUUCUUGCCCUUGUAGUAGUUAGUAGCUGUUAUUUCAAAUAAGAUAUAAUGUCAUUGAACCCUCUAUGCACUAAAAAUUGUCAUGUAAGCAGGGAUGAGAUAAUUCUGUCCAGGAUAGUCUUUGAAUCUUCCCUAAACCAAAUUAUUACUGCAGGCGAGGCUAUUUAUGAUUGGGGAGAAAAUGUCCUGAAAACAGCAAGUUUAACCUCCACAAAGCUAGAUAAACAACAAGUAAUAGACACACCGAGAACAGCGCCCUCAAUGUCCUCCCUGUCUUUGUCACUCUCUCAGUCAUGGCUCUAAUGGAGGGCACUGUCAAUUUGUAUAAAGUAAAUGUGAACGGUGAACUUUGCUCACUGGGAAAGGCACUCAAAUUGGUUUUCAUUCUCAUCAUUAUUGUAUCUUCAUAUUAAUGACUAUGCUCAGGUGUCACAGCCUGUCAAAGUUUGCACAAUUUGAAGGGUGACUUUGGAGCAAUGAUAGUUUCUUUCCAACUCAGUGUCGCCUCUGGGACCUUGUCCCUGCAGCUCUCCUGGUCCUGCACCCUGCUCACUCUCAUGCCUUCAACAUUUCACUGGCCUUUUGUGACUCUACCUGCCACCAACCCCAGGAUUCCCUGUUGUCACUACAUCAGCCCUCAGCACUACACGGCUCAUCUGGGCUCAGUGACAGCUGCCUGUCCACGUGCUGCUCCCUGGAGCUGCCUGUUCCUCCUCUCUGAACUUGAACAUGAGCUCUUAUGAUUCAGAGUCACCUCGCAGUCUUGAAUUUCCUGGAGGCUUGCAUGAGAGGGAAGACAGAGUUGUGGCAGCAAACAGUAAAAUCAUAGGUGUUGCCGAGAGAUGGGGGGAAGUGCGUGCCUCCACUGUGAAGAUAACCUGGGGAGGGGACAGGACACAUUUCUUAAACUGCUGUGCUUCUGUCUCUGGACCUGCACUUUGCAAGAGCCCCAAAACACCCAGUGGGACUGUGAACUUUCAUUCUCAGAUGUGGAAAAAGGCAUAUUGCCUUUUUCUGAAAGCCUAGCGGUAGCCCUUUCCCUGUACUGUGUAUUUACUGGCACCCGCUCAGGUCCUGUCCAUGAAAGAGGUCUGUAUGUCAGGGAGCAGGACCCUGGCUAUACCUGGAGUGAAUCAUGGCUGUAGGACAGUGUGGAUUCAGGGCGGUAUCUGGACCUCUGGAGAGUUCUCCAGGACUUCACAGUAUGGGACAGACACAUUUGAUGGGCGAAAUCAGGUGAGAUAAUUUAUACUUCUGUGGCUUUCCUUUGACUUUUUAGGCUAGAAAUCAAUCUAUGAUGCCCUUCAAGCAGGACCCAUGAAAAAUCAAUUCUUCUGUCAUUACUAGCAGGGAAGAUGCUGCAGCAGGCUGACAAACUGAUGCUCUCCAGUUUGGAGACUUCAAAGAGUCUUGCAAUGGUGGGGUAAUUUGUCUCAGCACCUGUGCUCAUUGGCUGAGCACAUAGUGGGAUUGCCCUGCAAAGCAGAGGAUUUGAGGAAUGAUUUUACCCAAGAUUAAAGCCUUGGAAAAAGGCAUAUAGAAUCACCAUUGAAGAAAAAAAAAAAAAAAAAAAGGCCUGAACCUUUACUAAAGCAUCUAUACGUGACACAGGUGGUUAGAGAUUGGGACAGAAACUUGGCACUCUAGGAGCAUUUUUUUCUGGGCUUUUCCACUUCUCUGAUUCACAGCAAACACUUCAGGUCCUAUUGCAAGCUAAGGUGAGACUCAGGUACAGACCAACAGCAGGAAACCUCAGUGUGACCCUGACUAAUGAGUGGGACAGGAGUUGGACCACUUAAUACCCUCAGUGGCUCUGGAGGGCACUGCACACUUUGGUGGGCUAAAGACAGGAGUCUAUCCAUCUUCCGAGUCUCCCUGCUAAUUCUGGACACAGACUGUGUCUUGAGAGGACCCAUUCCAUAGGAGCGGGGAGGACAGAAGAGUGGUGAAGUGAUUUGGAGGCUGCUCAUUGCUGCUGCAUUAAAUUCAAGACAUUCAACAGAAUUGUCCUUUAGAGCUGCUUAUAUCCAACGUGACUACUUUCCUUUAGAAUUGGUUAAAUCUAACCUGAAUCAAUUCCCUAAACAUCUUCCAAGCACACAGGAUUUGCUCAGUGCUAAUAAAUCUCCCAGAAUUUCUGAGCGUGGUCUCUUUGCUUCAAGAAAGCCACAGUCUCUUUAGAGGCCAGCAUAGUGCAAGAGGGAUACAUGACCUCUGCAUGUGUGGACAUACAUGAUAAUCUCCUUGAGUUUACAAUUCUACCCAGAAAAAAAGACAAUGUACACUCUGGAAUAUUUUUAGCCUAAAUUGAGAAAGGAUUGUUCCAGAUUUAUUUAGUGCUCUAAGUUCUAAAACCCAAGCCAUAGGAAGACUAGGCAGUUAUGCCUGUUUUCUGUUAAAAUGUCAGUAGGUAGCUGUAACUGUUAACCAUGCUAUGUCAAGUUGACUAUAGUAGGAAAUAUCUAACAGACAUUUCUAGUAAAUGUCUAGUAGAGCACAGUCUGGGUGUGUCUGUGAAUGACUGAUGUGGAGGCCAGCAAGCUCAGGGUGAAGACAUAUGCAGCUGCAGGUGGCACCAAUCAAUAGGCUUGUAGCCUAGAUGGGAUAAAAAAGAAUGGGGAAGGAAGUGUGCGUUUUUGGAGUGUCCCAAUCCUCAUGGGUGGGUGUGCCUUUUGCUGCCAUCCCCAGUGACCAUCUCUAGUUUCUCUAGCCUUCCAGCCCAGACUCCCAGACUCACAGCAGGUACUCCAGUGAACCUUUGGGCCUUUGCCCUUAGGCUGCCGCUGCAUCCUGAUCCCUCUCAUUCUGUAGUUGCCAGCUUGCUGGGCUGAGCGGCUGUUGCAGACUCCAGCUCUCUAGUGUACAGGCGGUCACUGUGAACUCUCCCUCUCGGGUCCUGUCAGUCUACCUAGUAAAUCCGCUUGCAUAGCUAUACAUAUAUUUUCUAUUGAUUCAGUUCUUCUAGAGAGCCAAAUAUACUAAUGCAGCAGGUUUCUGUUGUUGGAAAACAAAUAGCAGAAAUACAGUGAAAAACUGCUGUUUGUGAACCAAUCAUGUGUCUGAAGUUUGGGUCCAUAAGAUUGAUCAGUAACUCAAAGCCAAGUGAAAAAUGAUUUGAGGGAAUGCAGAGGUAUCAACUGAGCCAAGAACAAAGUUGGAAUUUUUCCAUGGGCAGUGGUGUACUUCAUGAUACUUAUAUAUUCAUUAUGCUGCUUCAAUUCUGACAUCUUGAUAGGGUCUUCUGUGGAAAGGCAUGAUUUUAUCAAUUACCCUAGCUUUGAGCACAAUUAUUAUCACUUCUGUAUGACAAACACAUGCAACCUCAUGUCCAGCGUGCACACACACCUGCAUGUGCACACAUGUGCAUAUAACACCUACACACAUGUGCACAUGUACACACAGCUCAAGGCCUCUACCUCAUGGAAAAGCCUUUAGAGAGUCCAAAAAACCCGUGAAUGUCCUGAUACAGAUUUUGUGUGUUUCUUGAGAAUGUAACCAGGAUACAUCCAUCUUUGCUGUCAUCACAGGCCACAUGCAGAAUGGCAGGGGAUCCGCAGGAAGCAGAAAGCGGCAGUGGAGAUCCUUAUGGCUCCCACAAGAUCAGGUGCCCUCCUCUCAUUCAUUCAUCUGGCCUCAGUCCAAGACCUCACCCCACAGAGACUUGGGGACAUCCUCAGUGCUCAUAGUAGAUGCUCAAGGGGAUUCUUGGGGGACAAAUGAUUAAGAAUGACUGAAUGAGCUAGGUUGAAAUAAAUACACCUUCAAAGAACUACAGGAGGGCAAAUUAGUGUUCUGAGCUAAUAUGUUUUGUGGAGGCUCUGGCUACUCAAGGUAAGUCUCAGGGAUGCUUGGAUUUUGGAGAAACAGGAAAUGCCUGCAGCUAAGCCCAGCCUUGAGCAAUUGUUUUUGGCAUUGAGGCUUCUUAGAGAUGGAGAACAAGCCUGGUGAGAGGAAGGUGGCCACCCCUCAAGCACUGCAGCAUACUGGAGACCUCAACUACUGUGGCCAGGCGACACAUGGUCCAUACGUGUUUUCUUGCCUCACCUUCUCAAUGACCCUGGGAUGUGGGCAAGGUCAUUUCCACUUUCACCUAGAGAAACUGAUGCUCAGAAAAACCAAGCAAGGGGCCCAAAGUCAUGCAGCUAAGCAAGUGGCAGAGCUGGGAUUGGAAAUUAGAUCUCUCAGAUUCCCAGAGUCCUGCUGGAACCACUGCACAACCCUGUUUGGGGACAGGAGGACUAAGACCCAGAGGAGGAGUCCAAGGCCUGAAGGUGACUCAUCCUUGGUUUAUGAUCUGUUACAGUCCUAGAUUGAAAUUUAGUUUCUCCCAGGUGCAACAUACAAGUUAAACCAGUCAUUUUUCCAGAAGCCUGCUAAAACCAUGUGUGUGUGUGUGUGUGCGUGUGUGUGUGUGUGCGUGUGCGUGUGCGUGUGUGUGUGUGUGUGUGUGUGUGUGUGUACAGGAAAGAUGAGAAAGGGUUAGAAGACAGUGGCACCUAAAGACUAGCACAUUUAGGUGAAAAAGCUUCCAUUUUUAGGUGCUUUGGUUUUCAAUUUCUGACAUCUCCUGUGGGGCUGGUGUAGGAGCCCUGGGCAGGGCAGCUUUAGGCUUAACUGGAAAAGAAUGAGUCUCUCUGAUUGCAGAAAUGGUGCAGGAUAUGGUGAGGCAGCCUCCCCCCAUUUCCUCUGUCAGACCUAGCCCCUAGGGAGCAGCUGUCUGCAGGGCAGGGGUUGCCGCCAACACUGCCUCCCAUUCUGCUCGACCUCUAGGAACAGCAAGAAACACCUGUGUUGUCAAAGCCAUGGGAAAAUAAAUUUUGCCUAGGUCAGUAAGACAUGUUUUGAUUGACUAAGAGAUGGGAAAUUUAAAAGACAGGAUGACACAGAUAUGUGAGAUGAGAGUAACUUGUUUGAUUUAUAUUGGAAAUCGCUAUUCAGAUGACAUUGAUUUACCUGCUUGGUGGAAGCCUCCCUGGGAAGACGUGCAUAUGACUCAAGUUGUCAGAAUGCGCAUCGAGGGGUUAGAGUGAAGCUUCCUGUCCAGUUGGAGUGGAGGAGGAAUGUGUCUGUGAAGAUUGGAUCUGUGUUUUCGCCUAUCAGUGAAGGAGGAAUAGGAAGAAUUUCACAAAAAAUCUCUGCACAUUUGGUUCAUGGAAAAGGCGAGACCAGCCCAGGACAGCCCAGAUCCUUCAGUAGGAGUAACUGCCCCAUCAGGAAGACAGCAAAGCUGAUGUACCUCUGCCACUUUGGUCUGAACAGUGGAAGCACAUUUUCUUAAAUCUUCUUGUGAAAGAUGAAAUCACAGCAGUAAGUUCAACACAGUGGGAUUUCAGGGGCCUCUGAUUGGGCUGCAGUUGGGAUGAGAGGCCCUUUCUGCCUGUGCCCUCUGCCCCAUCACCCUACAAAGACGGCUGUUUUUGCAGACUGUGUUUCUCAACCUUGGGGCUGAAGAUCCUCAGCAUGCUAAUCUAAGAACUUACCAUAGUACGGAAGUCAUAAAUUAGAGCCUGCUGAUCAAAUGGGACAGGGAAAUUCUGGGUUUUGAGAGUGCUUUUUUUUUUUUUUUAAGGUGUAGUUACUUAGAAUAAAAUGCACAGACUUUAAGUUUAUGGUCUGAUAAAUUUUGACAAACACACAUUCCCUGUACAGCUGCACUUUCACCAAAAGCAGGGACACUUGUCAUUAUGUUAGAAACUUCCUUCUUGUCAUUCUUCCCUCUACUUUCCUUCCCUCGAAUCCCAGGAAGCAAACUGGAGUCUGACGUUUACCUCCAGAGCACUGGCUUUGCUUGUUCUUGACCUUCUUGCCGUGGUACAGACAACAAAGGCUCCUUCCAGCAUGGCAUCUUCGGUUUGCAGGCCACAAGAUCCCCUGUGGGCAUCAUUGCCUUUCACUGCUGACUGGACUGCUGUUGUACAUGCACUCUACAGUUUGGCUGCCAUUAGGGAUACACGCUUGGAUUUUUUCCAAUUAUUUUGCUCUUUUUUCAUAUAUUUACCUUUCAUUGAUUUUUUAAUAUUACACUCACACUGCCAAACCAUGUCUAAGAAUAAAAAAAAAAAAAAAAAAAGAAAUGGCAUAAUGGACCGCCUCAUCCACCUGUCCUUCAGUAUGCUAAAACUUGAUUCAUGUGUAUUCUUGUAAUUUCCCAGUCCUUUAAAAAAAUUCAUAACAUGAGCUGGAAUUUAAAUCUGCCACAGGUCUUCAGAUUUCCAGGCACCAUUAAAUAAAACCUCUUCAUAUUCAUCUCUCAAUAACAUAACUCUACACAAAAUUUUGUGGGAAAAUGAGCAUUUUUCAAGAAAGUGUGGCUUAAGAUCUAAGUGAAGUCUUCAGCUUAACUAAGAAUCUGUUAAUCUUUGAUUAAUAAUCCAGACUCCCCUUGGCUAGCUUAUCUACUCACUGAAGCCCAUGAGAAGGAAGGCUUCAUACCUGCCACACCUGACAGUGUCAGCAUUAUUGCCCAGAAGGGUCUGGUAGGGCCGCCCAGGAGAUACGAGGUGCAGCCUGCCUAGAGUUCAGUUCUGCACCAACAUUUUCCAUCAAGCCUGAAAACGCCCCCACCAACAGGAUAGUUUUACCUACUAGUUAGCUGCUAUGAACAGAGGUACUAGAAACACUUGGGUAUAAGUCUUUCUGUGCACAAAUGUUUUUCUUGUGUUUGGGGUUAGCACAUAGGUGGAAUAGCUAGUUUAGGAAGCAGGUGUGUACUAAGGGUUUUAAAAGUUUAAAUUAAAUUGAAAAAUUUACAAGGGAGGACUGUCCACAUAAAAUUCUGGAGACCUGGCUGUUCUUGGGAAAUGGGUGUCACCUACGUUUCUGAGACAGCAAAUAUGGACUGCAUUCCACUCCAUCCCUGUCAGGACCUCCCACCAAUCUCGGUAGUCGUGAUGGCCAGUCUGCAGGUGGACACCUGAUCACAGAGUCUGGGUUUAAUGUGGCCCUCUGGAUGCAGAGGACCCAAUUGUUCCACCUCUACCCCCCCACUCAGAACUCCCAUUAAUCAAUCUGAACUUGGAAUUGGGGUGGAGAAGCCUGAUUACUUUUUCCUGACUCAUAGCUACAGGUUUUAGUAAUUCCAAGUGAAAUACCACCUUUUCAGGACAUCACUAUACAUAGUUGUAGGAGGAUUUUAAUUUGGUUCAGUCUUCCUUAAUAUACCACAGACACAUAGAUUUUAAUUUUCUUUUAUUAAAAAUAAAUCCACCUUCCUUGCCUGGGUCUCUUGUGUAAAUAUCUAAUUAGGGCAAACGCUUGGCCUAGCCCAACAGGGGUGUGUCCACGUCCCUCAAGAAGGAACUGGCUUCAAAGAAUCGUACCCUCUUCUGAGGAAUGCUAAUUGGGCCAAAUAGGGUGCAUGAAUUAUUUAUAAAUGUUGCUCUGGUUAUCAGAGGAAAAUUGACCCCAAAUUGCAACUAAGAAAGAAAUCUGCCUACUUUAUAACUCAGAGGAGCUGUUUUAGGCCUGGAUCCCCCCAACCACGUGACCACAAAGAAUACUGCCGGUGCCUGAAGGGGCGCCCACAGCAGAGCCCCACUUGGUCACUACUUAUGUGACCAGGUGAUACAUUUGAUGUUUCUUUCACUAAUCUGUGGGUGGGAGGGUGACUGUCCCCCAACCUAGCCUGAUUGUUCCUUGGAUAAAGAUGCACACUGGUAUUCCAGGACCCAUUGAGUGGCAUGAGUAUUAUGUGUUGAGCAAUUUUCAUUGCCUUUCACCUUAUGCUGGGCCAUUUGAGAGGGAGGAAUAAAGAUCCUCUUCCACAGCUAAGACAGCCACAAUCCAGGAAGAGAAGCCCUUCAGCUCCUGUCUCACAUCUAAAAAGCAGCAGAGGCAGAAGCACAUUGAGUCUUAUCUAAGUAAACUUUUGAAAGCUUCUUCCAUUCAGCCAUUUGAUUGUUUAAGGCACCAAAAGAUGAACAAAACAUCAUAGCCCUGCCUGUGUGGACCUUCCUUUAACAUGCUCACUCAGUUCAGGCUGCUAAAAGAAACCCCUCUGUCAUUUAUAAACAACAGAAAUUUCUCACAGUUCUGGGGACCACUAUGUCCAAGAUUAAGGUACCAACAGAUUUAGUGUCUGGAGAAGGAUUACUUCCCAAUUCACAGAAGAUUCUGUCCCUAUAUAUAUAGUUCCUUAAUACUGAUUUCUAUGAAAUUCCUUUAUACCUCUGGCCCUUAGUGGUGCUCAAAUAUAAAAUUCUCAAGCUG